AGUUGGAACAAAUGCGGAGGUGUUUACAACUAAUUGAUCAUAACCAGUUACAGAUUUCUUUGUUUCUUCUCUACUCGCACUGCUUCACUUGACCAGCCUUGA
This is an unclassified non-coding RNA of Aotus nancymaae (Ma's night monkey), 102 nucleotides long. It matches the Rfam family "Y RNA". From Rfam's summary of the family: Y RNAs are components of the Ro ribonucleoprotein particle (Ro RNP), in association with Ro60 and La proteins. The Y RNAs and Ro60 and La proteins are well conserved, but the function of the Ro RNP is not known. NCBI's taxonomy places the organism in Eukaryota, Metazoa, Chordata, Mammalia, Primates, Aotidae. The record is from Ensembl.